This 433-nucleotide ribosomal RNA is filed under the name uncultured Geodermatophilus sp. RNAcentral's name for it is "bacterial SSU rRNA". It matches the Rfam family "Bacterial small subunit ribosomal RNA", at positions 958 to 1392 of the family's 1533-position model. Lineage: Bacteria; Bacillati; Actinomycetota; Actinomycetes; Geodermatophilales; Geodermatophilaceae. The record is from RNAcentral.
AACGCGAAGAACCUUACCUAGGCUUGACAUGCACGGAAAUCCUCCAGAGAUGGGGGGUCCGUAAGGGCCGUGCACAGGUGGUGCAUGGUUGUCGUCAGCUCGUGUCGUGAGAUGUUGGGUUAAGUCCCGCAACGAGCGCAACCCUCGUUCCAUGUUGCCAGCGGGUAAUGCCGGGGACUCAUGGGAGACUGCCGGGGUCAACUCGGAGGAAGGUGGGGAUGACGUCAAAUCAUCAUGCCCCUUAUGUCUAGGGCUGCAAACAUGCUACAAUGGCCGGUACAAAGGGCUGCGAUACCGCGAGGUGGAGCGAAUCCCAAAAAGCCGGUCUCAGUUCGGAUUGGGGUCUGCAACUCGACCCCAUGAAGUUGGAGUCGCUAGUAAUCGCAGAUCAGCAACGCUGCGGUGAAUACGUUCCCGGGUCUUGUACACACCG